This 722-nucleotide ribosomal RNA is filed under the name uncultured Candidatus Saccharibacteria bacterium. RNAcentral describes it as "bacterial SSU rRNA". It matches the Rfam family "Bacterial small subunit ribosomal RNA", at positions 28 to 776 of the family's 1533-position model. The record is from RNAcentral. Lineage: Bacteria; Candidatus Saccharimonadota.
GAUGAACGCUGGCGGCGUGCCUAACACAUGCAAGUCGAGCGGCAGCGCGAGUAGUUUACUACUUGGCGGCGAGCGGCGAACGGCUGAGUAACGCGUGGGAAUUUGCCCCAAAGUGAGGAAUAACUGCCCGAAAGGGUGGCUAAUGCCGCAUAUGAUCUUCGGAUUAAAGGAUUUAUCCGCUUUGGGAGAAGCCCGCGUCGGAUUAGGUAGUUGGUGAGGCAAUGGCUCACCAAGCCGACGAUCCGUAGCUGGUCUGAGAGGAUGACCAGCCAGACUGGAACUGAGACACGGUCCAGACUCCUACGGGAGGCAGCAGUGAGGAAUCUUCCACAAUGGGCGAAAGCCUGAUGGAGCAACGCCGCGUGCAGGAUGAAGGCCUUCGGGUUGUAAACUGCUUUUAUGAUUGAGGAAUUUGACAGUAGAUCAUGAAUAAGGAUCGGCUAACUACGUGCCAGCAGCUGCGGUCAUACGUAGGAUCCGAGCGUUAUCCGGAGUGACUGGGCGUAAAGAGUUGCGUAGGCGGUUUGUUAAGUGAAUAGUGAAAUCUGGUGGCUCAACCAUACAGGCUAUUAUUCAAACUGGCAAACUCGAGAGUGGUAGAGGUCACUGGAAUUUCUUGUGUAGGAGUGAAAUCCGUAGAUAUAAGAAGGAACACCGAUGGCGUAGGCAGGUGACUGGACCAUUUCUGACGCUAAGGCACGAAAGCGUGGGGAGCGAACCGG